RNAcentral lists this ribosomal RNA (433 nucleotides) under uncultured bacterium. RNAcentral describes it as "partial 16S ribosomal RNA". It matches the Rfam family "Bacterial small subunit ribosomal RNA", at positions 29 to 507 of the family's 1533-position model. The record is from RNAcentral.
AACGAACGCUGGCGGCAGGCUUAACACAUGCAAGUCGAACGGAUCCUUCGGGAUUAGUGGCAGACGGGUGAGUAACGCGUGGGAACGUACCCUUUGCUACGGAAUAACUCAGGGAAACUUGAGCUAAUACCGUAUGUGCCCUACGGGGGAAAGAUUUAUCGGCAAAGGAUCGGCCCGCGUUGGAUUAGCUUGUUGGUGGGGUAAUGGCCUACAACGGCGACGAUCCAUAGCUGGUUUGAGAGGAUGAUCAGCCACACUGGGACUGAGACACGGCCCAGACUCCUACAGGAGGCAGCAGUGGGGAAUAUUGGACAAUGGGCGCAGGCCUGAUCCAGCCAUGCCGCGUGAGUGAUGAAGGUCUUAGGAUUGUAAAGCUCUUUCACCGGUGAAGAUAAUGACGGUAGCCGGAGAAGAAGCCCCGGCUAACUUCGUG